RNAcentral lists this small RNA (233 nucleotides) under Clostridium mediterraneense. RNAcentral's name for it is "5' ureB small RNA". It matches the Rfam family "5' ureB small RNA", at positions 18 to 257 of the family's 292-position model. The record is from RNAcentral. Lineage: Bacteria; Bacillati; Bacillota; Clostridia; Eubacteriales; Clostridiaceae.
GGGUUGAUGUAGUGAACGUGUGUAUCUAUACCACCAGCUGUUAUGAUGAAUCCUUCUCCAGCUAAUGCUUCUGUAGCAACCCCUACUAUAAAGUCUACAUCAUCCAUGAUGUCUGGGUUACCACCUUUACCGAUAGCCAUGAUUUUUCCAUCUCUGAUACCGAUAUCUGCUUUGUAUAUUCCUGUGUAGUCUAUGAUUGUAGCUCCUGAAAUAAUUAAAUCAGCUACUAAUGG